UAAUAUAUUAUUUUACGAUGUGGUAUUAAUCCCUAAAUAAAACAAGAACAAUCAUAAAACUUUAGAAGAAAAUUAACUGAAGACUUAUAAAACUAAUAAUUUAAGCAGAUAUGCAAAUUAAUUUUGAAAUUGAAACAUCUUAACACUGAUAAAAAAUGUUGAAAGUAAUGGCGAAUGAAAUCAAUAAACCUUAAAAGUUUGAACAUCUUUUAUGUUGGUUUAACUAAGUUUACUUGUAAAGAGAGUAUCGUGAGAGAAAUUUUAAAAUAGGGAGGAUGUAAGAAUGAGAGACAUUUUCCUUUUGUAUGAUGAACCUACAAGAAUAAUCACUAGCAAGAUAAAAAUCUAAGUGAAGACAAAUUAGUUAGUAAAACCCGAAACCAAGUGAUCUAAUUAUGAGCAGCGUGUAGCGCAAACCAGUAACUGUUGAAAAAUUUUUGGGAGACUUGUAAUUAGCAGCGAAAAACUAACCGAACUUGGCUAUAGCUGGUUUUUCUCGAAAAUUAUAUUAGUAACUUCCUCUAACUGAGGAAUCAAAGGGUUAACUCUAACGUUAACUCUUAAAUGGGAAACAACCCAUCCAAAAGGAUAAUGUAUUUAAUAAAGUCUUAUUAAAUUAAAUUCUUGUUUAGACAUUAAGAAAAUAAGCUUGGAAACAGCUACCUUAUUAAGAAAACGUAAUAGUUCACUUAUUAAAUAAGAUAUUUCUAAGAUAUAAUUAUAACUUUUAACAAAGUCCAUUGAGUAAAUUGGUAGAGAAGUAUAUUAUAGAAUAAAAAAAACUUAUAUAUUAGAAACAAUGUAGGUAUGAUUAAGAUCAGGUUAUUUCUAAGGUUUCUUGCUUUAAUAUUAGUAAGGUUAUACAAUACCUCACCAAGAGAGGGUAAAUAUUAACUUAUUACGAGAAAAUUUAAUAGGAACGAAUUGUACUUAACUAAAUCAAGUAGAAAUAAAUAAAGACUCAAUUGUCGCUAAGGAACUCGGCAACCUGAAAAUCGACUGUUUACCAAAAACAUAGCCCUUAGAUACUAUUAAAGGUGCGACCUGCCCUAUGGUCUUACUAUCUCAUGUAAUCAAGAGUGGAACGAAGACUAAAUGGCCGCGGUAACUCUGACCGUGAUAAUGUAGCGAAAUCAAUUGUCGUUUAAUUGACGACCAGUAUGAAUGGUUAAACGAAUUUUCCCCUGUCUCAGCGAUAAGUUCAAUGAAUUUAAAAUAAUAGUGAAGAUGCUAUUUAACAAUUGUAAGACGAGAAGACCCUAUAGAGCUUAACUAUAAUCUUUAAUCCUAUAACGAUAGUUUAUUUGUUAUAUUUAAAGACUGGUAGUUUGGUUGGGGCGACCAUCUUCUAUAAGUAACGAAGAUAAACAAUGAUACGUAAAAAUGAAUUAUUUAACUGUGUAACUUAUAUGUUUAACAGAUAUUAAAAUAGGUAAAUUGACCCGUUUAUUUUGAAUAAGGAAAAUAACGAUCAAUAAAUAAAAGCUACCUUAGGGAUAACAGCGUAAUCUUAUUUAAGAGUUCUUAUCGACAAUAAGGUUUGCGACCUCGAUGUUGAAUUGCGAUAACCUGAGGGUGCAGCAGCUCUCAAAGGUUGGUCUGUUCGACCAUUAAAAU
RNAcentral lists this ribosomal RNA (1617 nucleotides) under Geryonia proboscidalis. Its description in RNAcentral is "partial 16S ribosomal RNA". The stretch from base 253 to 1617 matches the Rfam family "Bacterial large subunit ribosomal RNA", at positions 1 to 2594 of the family's 2925-position model. The record is from RNAcentral. Lineage: Eukaryota; Metazoa; Cnidaria; Hydrozoa; Limnomedusae; Geryoniidae.